UAGGGAUUUGGGAAAUGCUCCCAUUCUUC
RNAcentral lists this non-coding RNA (29 nucleotides) under Rattus norvegicus (Norway rat). Lineage: Eukaryota; Metazoa; Chordata; Mammalia; Rodentia; Muridae. The record is from RNAcentral.